This 400-nucleotide ribosomal RNA is filed under the name uncultured bacterium. RNAcentral describes it as "bacterial SSU rRNA". It matches the Rfam family "Bacterial small subunit ribosomal RNA", at positions 356 to 773 of the family's 1533-position model. The record is from RNAcentral.
GGGGAAUAUUGGACAAUGGGCGAAAGCCUGAUCCAGCCAUGCCGCGUGAGUGAUGAAGGCCCUAGGGUUGUAAAGCUCUUUCAGUGGGGAAGAUAAUGACGGUACCCACAGAAGAAGCCCCGGCUAACUUCGUGCCAGCAGCCGCGGUAAUACGAAGGGGGCUAGCGUUGUACGGAAUUACUGGGCGUAAAGCGCACGUAGGCGGAUCUUUAAGUCAGGGGUGAAAUCCCGGGGCUCAACCCCGGAACAGCCUCUGAUACUGGGGAUCUCGAGUCCGAGAGAGGUGAGUGGAAUUCCGAGUGUAGAGGUGAAAUUCGUAGAUAUUCGGAGGAACACCAGUGGCGAAGGCGGCUCACUGGCUCGGUACUGACGCUGAGGUGCGAAAGCGUGGGGAGCAAAC